RNAcentral lists this ribosomal RNA (897 nucleotides) under uncultured microorganism. RNAcentral's name for it is "bacterial SSU rRNA". It matches the Rfam family "Bacterial small subunit ribosomal RNA", at positions 28 to 902 of the family's 1533-position model. The record is from RNAcentral.
AAUCAACGCUGGCGGCGUGCCUAACACAUGCAAGUCGAACGCGAAAGGGGAGCAAUCCCUGAGUAGAGUGGCAAACGGGUGAGUAACGCGUGGGUGACCUGCCUUCGAGUGGGGGAUAACUUUCCGAAAGGGAAGGCUAAUACCGCAUGACAUACCGUGUUUCGAUACACGGAUAUCAAAGCUGGGGAUCGCAAGACCUGGCGCUUGAAGAGGGGCCCGCGUCCGAUUAGCUAGUUGGUGAGGUAACGGCUCACCAAGGCUCCGAUCGGUAUCCGGCCUGAGAGGGCGGACGGACACACUGGAACUGAGACACGGUCCAGACUCCUACGGGAGGCAGCAGUGGGGAAUUGUUCGCAAUGGGCGAAAGCCUGACGACGCAACGCCGCGUGGAGGAUGAAGAAUUUCGGUUCGUAAACUCCUUUCGACCGAGAUGAAAACCCAGGGACUUAAUACAUCCUUGGACUGACAGUAUCGAGAGAAGAAGCCCCGGCUAACUCUGUGCCAGCAGCCGCGGUAAUACAGGGGGGGCAAGCGUUGUUCGGAAUUACUGGGCGUAAAGGGUUCGUAGGUGGCCAACUAAGUCAGACGUGAAAUCCCUCAGCUUAACUGGGGAACUGCGUCUGAUACUGGUUGGCUUGAGUGCAGGAGAGGAAUGCGGAAUUCCAGGUGUAGCGGUGAAAUGCGUAGAUAUCUGGAGGAACACCGGUGGCGAAGGCGGCAUUCUGGACUUUAACUGACACUGAGGAACGAAAGCCAGGGGAGCAAACGGGAUUAGAUACCCCGGUAGUCCUGGCCCUAAACGAUGAAUGCUUGGUGUGGCGGGUAUCGAUCCCUGCCGUGCCGAAGUUAACGCAUUAAGCAUUCCGCCUGGGGAGUACGGUCGCAAGGCUGAAACUC